CAUUGUUUGGACGCGCCUCCAUGCUGGCAAUAUGAUUCACUUCCGGGUCGGCAGACUCAAUGCGGAUUGUAACGUGUGGUCGUGCUAAGCUAACUCUUUCGGUGUUUUAGAAAGAAAUUAUGGGUGUGUAUUGUUGUGUUACCGGGUGCAACAGCUUCUCCUACGACUAAAAAAAGGGCGAGGAAAACUGGACUCACUUUUCACCGUUUUCCUGCAUGUAGGACCAAAUAUCAGAUCACGAAGGCACGACUGAUGGCUGGAUUGCAGCGGUUCGUCGGAAAAGCAUUUCUUAUGAUCAUAUUUCUGCUGGAAUGAGAGUAUUCCCCUCAUCUCUACUCUUGAAAACCUGCAUAUGAAAUGCUGACAACACAUCCCGAUUGGUCACCAUAUCUCUUCUUGGGUUAUUCUGAGGUCAAGCGCACCACAUUGGAGCGUUAUGAGAGGUUGGAAAGGCGAAGAGUGCACGCUGAAACUUCAGUUUGCUCUGCUCUUAAAAACACGAUCCCAAGUGUUGUUGUGAAAAGUCAAUAAAAUAUGAAUACCAAAACAUGACUUGAACAACUUCUUGACAAACUGUAACUGCUUGUUGUUUACUUCAGGUCUUCAUAAUAAACAGGUGUAAUAAUUACAAA
Corythoichthys intestinalis (scribbled pipefish) is the source of this 632-nucleotide long non-coding RNA. RefSeq lists it as uncharacterized. Lineage: Eukaryota; Metazoa; Chordata; Actinopteri; Syngnathiformes; Syngnathidae. The transcript has 2 exons. The record is from RefSeq and is a predicted model, not a curated record.